RNAcentral lists this ribosomal RNA (495 nucleotides) under uncultured eukaryote. RNAcentral describes it as "bacterial SSU rRNA". It matches the Rfam family "Eukaryotic small subunit ribosomal RNA", at positions 304 to 813 of the family's 1831-position model. The record is from RNAcentral.
CCGUAUAUCUAUUAGAGUAGAAGGAUGUGUAUUGAACAUUCUUGCUGUUGAUGGAUACGGAGAUUAGGUUCGAUUCCGGAGAGGGAGCAUGAGAAAUGGCUACUACAUCUAAGGGUGGCAGCAGGCGCGAAAAUUGCCCAAUACAGACUCUGUGAGGCAGUGACAAAACAUAACAAUGACGUGGUUGAUAAAACUAUGUCAAUUGGAAUGAGAACGAUUGAAAAGAUUUAACGAGAAACAAGAAGAGGGCAAGUCUGGUGCCAGCAGCCGCGGUAAUACCAGCUCUUCUAGCAUAUAUUAAAGUUGCUGCAGUUAAAACGCUCGUAGUUUGAAUUAUUUCGGCGUCAGGCUGGCUGGAAAAUUUAAUUUUUCAAGCUGUCUGGUGUCGAAUUAAAGCUUGGGCAGAGGCGAUUAAUUUCUCUCUGUCCAUUUAACCUUGAAAAAACAUUGUCGCUCAAAAAAGGACGGAAAGGUCUAUUGAGAUUUCAGCAUGGG